GGGGAUGCGAGCGUUAUCCGGAUUUAUUGGGUUUAAAGGGCGCGUAGGCGGGACGUCAAGUCAGCGGUAAAAGACUGCAGCUAAACUGUAGCACGCCGUUGAAACUGGCGCCCUGGAGACGAGACGAGGGAGGCGGAACAAGUGAAGUAGCGGUGAAAUGCAUAGAUAUCACUUGGAACCCCGAUAGCGAAGGCAGCUUCCCAGGCUCGUUCUGACGCUGAUGCGCGAGAGCGUGGGUAGCGAA
Molecule: ribosomal RNA, 244 nt
Filed under: uncultured bacterium
Lineage: Bacteria
Description: partial 16S ribosomal RNA
Rfam family: Bacterial small subunit ribosomal RNA
Source: RNAcentral